AGGGCCUCAAGCUGCAUGCGGCUGUGUCUGGUGAACCCUGGCUAGGCCCAUCCUUUGUGCUUAGGAUUCAGAGUCCACACAGCCUGGGCAUACCGCACUUGGCCUCACUGGUAUGGCAAGAGACUAGUGCUGUGCAUUCAGGCCUGUUGCUAAGGUCACAGGGCUUCGGCUACCUUUCCUUAGGCUCCAUUGGUGUCCCCUGGCCUUUGUCAGAGUUGGUUGCCUGAACAUCUCUGAAGCAGAUCAAAAGAUAAGUAGUGCACAGCUGAGCCCACUUCCCCUUUGGUUGUACCCUGCUUCUGUUUAAAGCAGGGGCCUUUGGGGUGGAACCUGGCUGAGUUAGAACAGGGCAGUUUCCAAGGCCAGUGCUGUGGAGAGUUGGUGUUUCAUCCUGGGGUGAGGUGAAGUACUGACCUGCUAGCACCCAUCCCAGCCACCCUCUGGUCCUUCCUGCUCAGCCGUGUAGAGACCAGCACAGCAUCUGUAAGCGCAUGCGUUAGAAAGGUGUGGGGUGUGCUGCCCUGCCUGGGUUGAAGACGGCUGUGACUCUGCAUGAUUUUUUCAAAUUACCCAGGUGUGAGGCUGCAGUUCAACAGAUAGUUACAGAUGGGUCACCUCACACAGCAGCCUGUCGGCUUAGUGAACGAAGCACUUCUGAGGACACGGAAGCGCUUCCCAAACUCAAAGCCACUGCUACUUCUCCGAGUGGCCCUGAGGUCACCUGUAAAGGAUGUUUGAUGUGGUGAGCUCAACAAAGGCUUUGAGAGCUGGGAGGGCCUUGGGGACAUCAUGUUAGCUGUCACCUUCUCACCUCAGAGCUCCUUGCUGUUCUUGCAACACAAGUUUCCUAAAAGAGGUUAGUUAGCCCCAAACCGCCCCCGAGAGGAUGAGAACAGGAAGCCCACUCCUCCCUUACAUUUAACUUAGGCACAGCCCAGUCCUUAGCCAUCAGUGGACACCUGAAGUGAGGCAGGGGAUCGGCCAUGGGAUGGAGCUGACAGUCAGUGAGUCACAGCACUGUUGACUCAUCUGUUGUCUGUCUACUCAUCUUCAUCAGUGGCCAUCAUGUCCACCUCAGGGAACCUCUUAGAGAGACGGCCCAGAGCACUGUGUGAUACUGGAGUAUGUCUGCAGCAGGCCUGUUUUUGUGCAGUCUCAGAUAGGAUCCACCUGGUUCGCAGUGAGGCCUCCAGCAAUGUGAUUCAACAAAUACUAUGGUUUCAUCUUCAGAUUUUCCUAAUUCUUUAAUUUUUCCUCUGGAUAGAACAUGAUGUUAAAGCCAGUUUAGGAAAUACAUAAAAAUAAAGUCAAAUCAGCAAGCCAAACCUCCUCCUCAAAGCCAAGGCUAACAUUCUGGUCCUUUUUCUUCUUUCCUUUUUCCCAUAGUCCUUCACUCCUAUAGAACACGGGGUGGGAGAGAAGUGGGGGGCCAGACCCCACCUUCCACAGCAUGGUGGAGUGCAGUAACAGGGCAGGAGAACAGAUGUGGCCCAUCUCUUCCCCGAUGACUAACAUCAAACUUCAUUGCUGUGAGCACUCUUUCGGAGCCUGUAGCUAUACCAUUCUCAGAAGAGCUUACACCAGGUUCUCAUCCUUCAGAGAACACUUAUCCACAUAACUCUUGGCUGUCACCCUUCUGCGUAGAUCUGCAGUCAGGCUUUGAGCCUCUCGGCAUAGAAAAAGAAAGACUUGGAAGCAACUUCCUGGAUUCUUCCUCACUAAGUAAACAGAGUGUCGUGCGCCUCUACCUCUCUUCGCACUCUCCAGCCCUUACUCUUGAACCCCUGAGCUUUGGUACCCCAACCAUGGAACCAGGAGUGGAACACCUGGUACAGAGGAUUUAUGGAGUUAGAUAGAGAAAUGAAAGACAUGGUGAAAACUAGAAUGGCCCAGGAGAAAGGCUUAGCGUCCAGAGAAGGAAAAGGUGAUGGGGGGCGGGGGGGGGGGUAGAAUAAUGCAAAUUGACCUUUAACUGUGGCUAAGCUCAGUCCAAAGCCAGAAAGCCAAGAGGGAGACUCACACCCUCAGUGCAUUGUACAACUGCUUGGCUUCUGCUCAGACAAGACAGAACUCUGGCUCACACAGACGAUGAAAGGCUGUAGUGUGGCUGGGCUGCACUUGUAACGCUGCAGCUGGUUCCAGGCGGCCAGUCCACUAGUGAGUGAGAGGCAAUAGGCAGCAUGUUAAGGGUUGUUAUCCAGCAUUGUCUCUGUGCCUAAAGGAAUUGGCACCUGUGAAAUACACAGACAUCAGCACGUGGUUAUGCCUACUGUCUGACCAGAAGAGAGUGAGAAUGGCCGGGGGGGGGGGGGGGGGGGGAUUUACUGUUUGGAGGUCUUGUAAAGACAAAGAAGCUAGCUGAUUCUGGAAGGAAAAAGUUCCUGUGAUCUGUUGAAUGGGCGCAGGGGCAGACCCAUUUGUCUGAUGCUCCUUAGUUGAUAGCCACUGGGCUCACUUUCUGCAAACACAGCAGGCUCGGAUGGCUCAGUGGAGGAGUACAAGGUGCCUUUGGGGGUGUGUUCCUGAAUUGUCAACAGCUUCCACAUAGUGUUUGUGUCCUUGGCUUUUGGCAUGAGGCAAUCAGAUGAGGUCAUCUGCUUGAGUCCAUUUCCUGACCACUGAUCAUUUUGAGACACAGAACAACUUCUAUUCUUAGAGAACUUCAAGCCUAAUGCACCCUGCCUGGUCUUGGGCCCAUCCCCUUCCUCCCCACCCACUCACCCCAGAAACAUCUCUCUUUCGUUGUAAAAAAAAUUACACACUCAUAAACUGU
RNAcentral lists this long non-coding RNA (2773 nucleotides) under Mus musculus (house mouse). RNAcentral describes it as "long non-coding RNA chr18:11913130-11915903". Lineage: Eukaryota; Metazoa; Chordata; Mammalia; Rodentia; Muridae. The record is from RNAcentral.